GGAACAUCCUCGCGGCCCGAGGCGCGGUCGCAGCCGGGGAGCACUCGCCACGGUGCUGUGGAAUUCUCUGGUUUUUCACGCAAGGUCAGGCGUCCUGCUGGCGCCCUCUCGCCACCCUGCCCUCCCGUCAGAAGCCCGGCUCCUCGCCGGGGAAGGCCGGAUGCUGGCCCGCCGGGACCUGGGACUUGUGCCACAUGGAGUGUCGGGAGUCUCCAUUGCCGCGAGUUCUACACCACAGGGCCAGGCUGUUUGCUCCCCAUCGGUCGCUGCCCCCAGCACCCUGUUGUUAUUAAGGACUCAUUUGCUUGGAGCGGCAUCAUUACAAGGGUGUGGGGUCGCGGCUCCUUUGUCCAGGACUACGCAGGGGCUUGACCCCAGGGCGCUGGUUUAGGCCGGAUCUGGGGUCCCUUGUCACUCCCAGGCUUCUUCCACUUCCGAAUUCUGGAGAACCGGGAAUCAAGCCCUGCGCGUUCCUCUUCUUCCUCCUUCGUGCCGAAAGCACGCUUCAUGUCUGCCAGGGCAUCAGUUCUGAAACACCAGAUACUGCUACACCAUCUCAUCGGCAUGGACCUAUAUGUGGCAGCAAGUCCAUCUCAUCGCUUUUGGUGAAAGUCAGUCCAGUUUGUAAAGAUUCUCAUUGUCACUGUAGACGAGGAACUGGGACACCAAAAGGAGAAACUCUGGCCACGCUUGCACCCUGUUCCCAAUCCUGGUCCAGUGUCACCCACAGAUGGUAAGGAGCUCUAGAGACCUCACCAGCCCCUGGGAUUGGUCACCUCACUCUUCUAUGGACAGAGAUUCCUGCUGGGAUCCUUUGAGGGCAAGCAGACCCUUCUUCCAGCUCGGACUGUGAACUCCACUGCAGCCGUAAGGACUGUCUGUGACAGUGAGCCCGAGAUGACUGGGCUCUGUGCUCCCUCCCGGCCCUCCAAUCCUUGGCCUGCCACAGAGAACUGAGCUCUUUUAUUAGCACCAUGAAUGUGACUGAUACAGCUAGCCAUUCCCUUGUGCGAAUGACUCAGUUUAUUAAUGCUCUGCUAAAGAUGGCUUCUUUGCUUGCCAGCAGCCUUAAACAGUAUUUCAUUAAAACUGGCUUAAUUAUUUUGAGAAGACGGCCCAAUUAAAAGCUAUACACUCCCUCUAUGUGAGUGUUUAUACAUAGAGCUGUAUAUAUAAUACAUAUUUGUAAGUGUGUAUAUAUAUAUGUGUGUAUGUAUGUGUCUAUAAAUAUAUAGGCUUAGCAAUUUCAUUACAUGGGAUAAAUUGUUGGAAAAAAUACCCAGGAGCUGGUCCCCUUUCUGUUGCUAGAUUCAGAGUAGAGGCCACCCCUCCACUCUGGGAGAGGCUGGUGUUGGUGAUCUCUCAAUGACUCUGCAAUGGAAGUCCCAACUGCACAGAGCCCUGCCCCAGUUUCAGGAGCCAGCAGCCUCGGAGAGGCGGAUCCUGACCUCUGCUCUGCUCUUGGGAUAGCCUUUCCCUUCCCAGCAGGGUUGAGAUACUUGGGCCGGGAAAUGUUGUGGCAAAGUGUUUGCCAAAGCUCAGGAGAGACACAGACUUGGGGCUUUUGUUUCUUGAGCUGGCUGUCUAGCUUUCCUAAUGAGCAAAUAUGUUCUCUUUAAGGAAACAAACAAACAAAGCAAAAACACCAAUUCAUCUGGAUUUUAUUCAUUUGUUUUAAAUACAAACAAACAAAAGGAGAGUGGUUAUUUCUGCACCAACUAUUUCAAAUGCAAGUUACUCCAUCGCUCGGGGUGGUUGGAUGGUGCUUGUCACCAUAGGACCCACAGGGCUAGUUCCAACUGUUAUUCGGUAAGGCUUUUUUCUUUCCAAAAUUCCCAGUGUUCCUUUAAGGCCCAUUUAGCUGCGGGUUUUGUUUAUUCUCCCGGCAAUCAGCAUUUAAAAUAAGACAAACAAGCAUUUUUUCCUGGGCUGUGAAUCCCCCCGGCCAGCCUCCACCUGCACACCUGAAGCCAGCAUGUCCAAUCAAAUUUCUCUGUAACCCAUAUCCCCUUUAGAGACUUGCCCCCGUCGUAUACCAGGCUGGAAAUAGAGAACUUAAGCAGGGCAAAUGUAAUUUUAAGAAUUGCUAAUGAUGCUAGAAAUCUGCAAUGCAAUUAGCGUCAUUGGAUUUGGCGCUCCUCCGAAGGCACAAAACUCCUUGUCAUAGCGCAGUGGCAGCAGCGGCAAGUGCCUCCGCAUGUGCCGGGCUGUCCGGGUAUGCUGGCAGCCGCUUUGCACUGAGAUGUGAGCAGUUGGUUAGGCUUCCUCUCUUUCUUUCUCACAGAUACUGACUUCUUUGUCUCUUUUCUGGGUUGCAGAGGGAUGGGUAUUUUCCAUUGAUUAUUACUUUAGCAUUUGACCCUCCAGUGGAGUCACCCUGUUUUUUUUUUAGAAAACUGAGACUCUCACUUUGUGAAUUCACUGUGCUCUCUGGGAUUUCAGUGCUGUAGUUCAACCACCAAUCCCCCUGUCCUGAACUCCAGUACUUCUGAUGCUAUUAAUUGGUUCCUCAACAAUUGUGGCCUUUUCCAUCAUUGCCCACCAUAGUAUAUACUUUUUCUUUCUCUCUCUUUUUUCUAAUUUCCUUGUCUUCUUCACUCUCCAUGGAGCCAGAGGUAGUAUGAAGAGUUAAAAAUAGGAAUAUAAAGAAAGCCAGAGGGACAGAGGGAGUGAGAAAGAAAAAUUUUAAAAAGGGAGGAAAUGAAUUAUUGGAUUAAAAAUAAACUUUUACUUUUUUGCAGAAAAAUUAUUUUUGCUCUCUGGGAAAAUAACAUGGGCCAGGCAUAAAAAGCAUGUCAGCUGGCUAAAAGAUUGCAAAAUCCAGAAGAUGAUCUCGAUGUGUCUGUUCAAUUUAGCAAGGGUAUCUACUAGGGGAUCCUCUUUUAAAUAUGGAGGCCCAAAUCAGAAGCUUGUAGAGGGGAGCUAUUCUUCCAAGAUUCCAGAUGUGUCUGUGAGACAACACGUUAUGGGGCAAAUUGAUUUCACCCUUGGGAAACCAGGGAGAUUUUCAAAGUUAUGUCUGCAAAGCCAGCUAAUGCAAUUCCCCAUUAGUGCAUUAAAGUGCGCCCUUAUUAAUUCAAACAUAAAGGCAACAAAAUAAGCUUUUAAAUUUAAAAUAUAAUACAUAUAUAAUGAGCAUGUGUGAAAGCCUUAUUCAAAUGAAAAUACAGGAGUGUUUGAACUACUGAGGUAUCUUUUGUAUUGAAUUAUGAGCAUAUGUAAUAGAUUUAAUUAUUAAUUUCCCCAUUGUUCUAUGCACACAGACAGGGUUCAAGGCACAGUCAUUCUCUGGCUUUCAUAGAUCUAAUUUGUAUAAUUAUUGCCUGAAUAAAAAAUUGCUCCAAAAAAAAAAAAAAAAAAAAAAAAAAAAAAAAAAAAAAAAAAAAAAAAAAAAAAAAAAAAAAAAAAAAAAAAAAAAAAAAAAAAAAA
This 3429-nucleotide long non-coding RNA is filed under the name Homo sapiens (human). RNAcentral's name for it is "long independently transcribed non-coding RNA 1140 (LINC01140)". The record is from RNAcentral. Lineage: Eukaryota; Metazoa; Chordata; Mammalia; Primates; Hominidae.